RNAcentral lists this ribosomal RNA (253 nucleotides) under uncultured bacterium. RNAcentral describes it as "partial 16S ribosomal RNA". It matches the Rfam family "Bacterial small subunit ribosomal RNA", at positions 524 to 776 of the family's 1533-position model. The record is from RNAcentral.
UACAGAGGGGGCAAGCGUUGUUCGGAAUUACUGGGCGUAAAGGGCGCGUAGGCGGCCUCUUAAGUCGAACGUGAAAUCCCCGGGCUCAACCCGGGAACUGCGUCCGAUACUGGGAGGCUUGAAUCCGAGAGAGGGAUGUGGAAUUCCAGGUGUAGCGGUGAAAUGCGUAGAUAUCUGGAGGAACACCGGUGGCGAAGGCGGCAUCCUGGACCGGUAUUGACGCUGAGGCGCGAAAGCUAGGGGAGCAAACAGG